RNAcentral lists this ribosomal RNA (430 nucleotides) under Gemmatimonadota bacterium. Its description in RNAcentral is "Gemmatimonadetes bacterium partial 16S ribosomal RNA". It matches the Rfam family "Bacterial small subunit ribosomal RNA", at positions 355 to 776 of the family's 1533-position model. Lineage: Bacteria; Pseudomonadati; Gemmatimonadota. The record is from RNAcentral.
UGGGGAAUAUUGGACAAUGGGCGCAAGCCUGAUCCAGCCAUGCCGCGUGUGUGAAGAAGGCCUUUUGGUUGUAAAGCACUUUAAGCGAGGAGGAGGCUACUUGGAUUAAUACUCUAAGAUAGCGGACGUUACUCGCAGAAUAAGCACCGGCUAACUCUGUGCCAGCAGCCGCGGUAAUACAGAGGGUGCGAGCGUUAAUCGGAUUUACUGGGCGUAAAGCGUGCGUAGGCGGCUUCUUAAGUCGGAUGUGAAAUCCCUGAGCUUAACUUAGGAAUUGCAUUCGAUACUGGGAAGCUAGAGUAUGGGAGAGGAUGGUAGAAUUCCAGGUGUAGCGGUGAAAUGCGUAGAGAUCUGGAGGAAUACCGAUGGCGAGGGCAGCCAUCUGGCCUAAUACUGACGCUGAGGUACGAAAGCAUGGGGAGCAAACAGG